AGAAUACUUCUUAUAAAUCUUA
This 22-nucleotide small nuclear RNA is filed under the name Arabidopsis thaliana (thale cress). RNAcentral's name for it is "snRNA_10532". Lineage: Eukaryota; Viridiplantae; Streptophyta; Magnoliopsida; Brassicales; Brassicaceae. The record is from RNAcentral.